RNAcentral lists this long non-coding RNA (346 nucleotides) under Monodelphis domestica (gray short-tailed opossum). RNAcentral's name for it is "lncRNA (ENSMODG00000037741.1)". Lineage: Eukaryota; Metazoa; Chordata; Mammalia; Didelphimorphia; Didelphidae. The record is from RNAcentral.
UUUUGCAUGUCCUGAAAAUAGAUCCCACCUGCGACUCUGGUAACAAACAGAACGGAGAUAUUUAGGUUUUUGCAAAUGUUUACACCCUCCCGUAACGAUGUUUGCCUGUUCCUCUGGGCGCUCCCUGUUCCAUUUCAUGUUACUCUCCCUCGAGCCCAAGCUGGAAUGCAGGAGAAGGAAAAGGCACGACUUCAGAUGUUCCCCAUGGUCAUUCCUCACCCCAGCCCACCCCACCAGCAUUCCUAAGCAAGUGUUCUCUGGCUGCUCCCGCAUGCAAGAUCUUCCGCCAACGAUGUUUUUACUUUUACCUUUAGAUAUGUCCAAAUGGUCUAAGAAGAGAUGUUAG